GACGAACGCUGGCGGCGUGCUUAACACAUGCAAGUCGAACGGGAACCUUUAUUUCGGUAAAGGUGAGAGUGGCAAACGGGUGAGUAACACGUAGGCAACCUGCCGACAGGAUGGGGACAACAUUCCGAAAGGAAUGCUAAUACCGAAUGAAGUCACCGGAGGGCAUCCUCUGGUGAUGAAAGAUGGCCUCUGAAUAUGCUAUCACCUGUCGAUGGGCCUGCGUCUGAUUAGCCAGUUGGCGGGGUAACGGCCCACCAAAGCGACGAUCAGUAGCCGGUCUGAGAGGAUGAACGGCCACAUUGGGACUGAGACACGGCCCAGACUCCUACGGGAGGCAGCAGUGGGGAAUCUUCCACAAUGGGCGAAAGCCUGAUGGAGCAACGCCGCGUGAGUGAAGAAGGUCUUCGGAUCGUAAAGCUCUGUUGCACGGGACGAAAACUGGGUUNGAGAACAUUGAACCNGGGNGAC
This 468-nucleotide ribosomal RNA is filed under the name uncultured bacterium. RNAcentral describes it as "bacterial SSU rRNA". It matches the Rfam family "Bacterial small subunit ribosomal RNA", at positions 28 to 473 of the family's 1533-position model. The record is from RNAcentral.